This 427-nucleotide unclassified non-coding RNA is filed under the name soil metagenome. RNAcentral's name for it is "partial contains 5.8S ribosomal RNA, internal transcribed spacer 2, and large subunit ribosomal RNA". The stretch from base 1 to 120 matches the Rfam family "5.8S ribosomal RNA", at positions 35 to 154 of the family's 154-position model. The record is from RNAcentral.
GAUGAAGAACGUAGCGAAAUGCGAUAAGUAAUGUGAAUUGCAGAUUUCAGUGAAUCAUCGAAUCUUUGAACGCACCUUGCGCCUUGUGGUAUUCCACAAGGCAUGCCCGUUUGAGUAUCAUUGAAUCAUCAACUCUAAAACCUUUGUGGUUUUUUUUAGAGCUUGGUCUUGAGGGUUUUGCAGGCUUUUUUUUUUUUUUCGAGUCUGCUCCCUUUAAAUGCAUUAGCGAGACUUCCCUAUGCUGAACCGUCUCUUUGACGUGAUAAUUAUCUGCGUCGAAUUUUGGUUCUCGUUGGGCUUGCUUCUAAUCGUCUGUUAAAGACAAAACGGAUUUGGGUGCAUAUAUGCGCCUUUUUCCAAAACCUUUUUUUGAUCUCAAAUCGGGUAGGACUACCCGCUGAACUUAAGCAUAUCAAUAAGCGGAGGA